Molecule: ribosomal RNA, 443 nt
Filed under: uncultured bacterium
Lineage: Bacteria
Description: partial 16S ribosomal RNA
Rfam family: Bacterial small subunit ribosomal RNA
Source: RNAcentral
CCUACGGGUGGCAGCAGUGGGGAAUAUUGGGCAAUGGGCGCAAGCCUGACCCAGCAAUGCCGCGUGAAGGAAGAAGGCCCUCGGGUUGUAAACUUCUUUUAUCAGGGACGAAGGAUGUGACGGUACCUGAUGACUAAGCUCCGGCUAACUACGGGCCAGCAGCCGCGGUAAUACGUAGGGAGCCAGCGUUAUCCGGAUGUACUGGGUGUAAAGGGAGCGUAGGCGGGAUGUCAAGUCAGAUGUGAAAUCCAGGGGCUCAACCCCUGAACUGCAUUUGAAACUGUCGUUCUUGAGUACUGGAGAUGUGUACGGAAUUCCUAGGGUAGCGGGGAAAUGCGUAGAUAUUAGGAGGAACCCCAGUGGCGAAGGCGGUCAACUGGACAGCAACUGACGCUGAGGCGCGAAAGCGUGGGGAGCAAACAGGAUUAGAUACCCUAGUAGUC